AAUGUGCUUCCACUUGGACAGAGCCAGUAUUGCCAACAGGCGGGGAACUCGCGCGUGUGUGUGGCUACAUACUCUGAGAUUUCUAAUUUUAUUUUCAUCACUUUCUCCCCACUCACUAGCACCCCUCACCCCAAUACACACACACUUGGCAGUAUCCUAACUUGUUCGCUCUUGCCCACGUUUGUCUUGGCGCCCUGGGGAAGAAGAGCAGGAAUCGUGGCGGGCUGUCUUGGAGAGGAUAACGGAAAUGCCCCACCGCACGCCCCCGGCGCAAGGGCCGGCGUCCCCAGUCCGCCGCAGGCAGCAGGAGAGCGGGGGUCCCCUCGGCCCCUCUGGGCUCUAGCGCGUCCGCUCCGGGCGUCGAGCUGUCCGGUUUCGCUGCGAGUCUGGGAGAGGAAGGCGGCUCGGCUGGCUCGGUUCUCCCCGCCGGUCCCCUGUGGCGGCCGCCCCUGGCCAGGGCCCGGCCACCUCCCCGCUCCUGGGCGGCUGCAGGUGCCCAGUGGCCUAUCCCGGGCGGGGGCGAGACGCCGAGCGGGCCGAACCUUCCCCACGUCCAGCUCGGGGAGCGUCUCGGUCGCGCGGCGGAGGCCCCUGGGCCCGGGCGCUCCCGGCUCCCUGCUCCCGGCUCCCGAGGCCUGUGGGCGCGGCGCACCAGGGCGCGGGCGGGCGGCGGCGGCAGCUCCAGGCGGAAGGCGCGGCGGGGCCACGGUCACGGCCCCCUCCGGGGCUCGGGCGGAAGCGCGGGCUCCGGGGGGGGAGGAGGGGCUGCCGCGCCCCGCCGAGGCCCAGGGAUCCCGGCCCCGAGCGAGCGGCUCCCGUCCGUGCAGAGGGGACCCGGGCUGCCCUCGCGCUCGCCGGGCCGGGGUGAGCCCUGCUCAGGUUCAGCCCCAACCCCGCGCGGCGGGGCGAUGCCGAAGCCCACGCAGGUCCGCCCGGCUGUGCGUCUUUCCCGGGCGCACACCAAGCCCCCUGCCAGGCGCUCAGGCCCCGGCUACGAGGCCGGCAGCUCCGGCGUUUGCCACCUCCAGACCCAGCGCCGCCAGCCCCGACUCCCGGCUCCCGGCGACUUCCCGGAUGGGGCCAUGCUUUUCUUCCAGGACAAUCGGGGCUCCUCCCCUCCCGGCGAUCUUUCUAGGAGGCCACCUCCAGAGACUGCGAGGCGAUUUCCUCCCUGCCGGUACCAAACUGUGA
This is a long non-coding RNA of Callithrix jacchus (white-tufted-ear marmoset), 1191 nucleotides long. The record is from Ensembl. NCBI's taxonomy places the organism in Eukaryota, Metazoa, Chordata, Mammalia, Primates, Cebidae.